RNAcentral lists this ribosomal RNA (520 nucleotides) under Platypleura stridula. RNAcentral's name for it is "partial 16S ribosomal RNA". The stretch from base 385 to 520 matches the Rfam family "Bacterial large subunit ribosomal RNA", at positions 2473 to 2609 of the family's 2925-position model. The record is from RNAcentral. Lineage: Eukaryota; Metazoa; Arthropoda; Insecta; Hemiptera; Cicadidae.
GUCCUUUAGGAAAAAAUUAAAGGUCUAAUCUGCCCAAUGAUGUUUGAAUGGCCGCGGUAACUUGACCGUGCAAAGGUAGCAUAAUUAUUAGUCUUUUAAUUGAAGGCUUGAAUGAAAGAUUGGAUGAAAAAUAAACUUUAUUAAUAAAUAUUAUUUAAUUUAUCAUUUAAGUAAAAAUUCUUAAAUAUAUAAGUGGGACGAGAAGACCCUAUAGAGUUUUAUAUUUAUUUUUAUUAUGAAUUUUAAGAAUUAAUAUUUUUAUAAUAUAAAUAAAUAUUUUAUUGGGGUGAUAUUAAAAAUUACUGAACUUUUAAUUAACAUUUCAUUAAUAUAUGAAUUUUUGAUCCAAAAUAAUUUUUGAUUAUAAGAUUAAAUUACCUUAGGGAUAACAGCGUUAUUAAUUUGAAGAGUUCAAAUCGAUAAAUUAGUUUGCGACCUCGAUGUUGGAUUAAGAAUAAAUUUUGAAGAAGUAUUUAAGAUUGUAGGUCUGUUCGACCUUUAAAUUCUUACGUGAUCUGAG